GUGAGGUAAUGGCUCACCAAGGCGACGACGGGUAGCCGGCCUGAGAGGGCGACCGGCCACACUGGGACUGAGACACGGCCCAGACUCCUACGGGAGGCAGCAGUGGGGAAUAUUGCACAAUGGGCGAAAGCCUGAUGCAGCGACGCCGCGUGAGGGAUGACGGCCUUCGGGUUGUAAACCUCUUUCAGCAGGGACGAAGGGUGACUGACGGUACCUGCAGAAGAAGCGCCGGCCAACUACGUGCCAGCAGCCGCGGUAAGACGUAGGGCGCGAGCGUUGUCCGGAUUUAUUGGGCGUAAAGAGCUCGUAGGCGGCUUGUCGCGUCGUCCGUGAAAACUUGGGGCUCAACCCCAAGCUUGCGGUCGAUACGGGCAGGCUCGAGUUCGGUAGGGGAGAUCGGAAUUCCUGGUGUAGCGGUGAAAUGCGCAGAUAUCAGGAGGAACACCGGUGGCGAAGGCGGGUCUCUGGGCCGAUACUGACGCUGAGGAGCGAAAGCGUGGGGAGCGAACAGGAUUAGAUACCCUGGUAGUCCACGCUGUAAACGUUGGGCGCUAGGUGUGGGGGGCCUCUCCGGUUCUCUGUGCCGCAGCUAACGCAUUAAGCG
Molecule: ribosomal RNA, 604 nt
Filed under: uncultured Actinoplanes sp.
Lineage: Bacteria; Bacillati; Actinomycetota; Actinomycetes; Micromonosporales; Micromonosporaceae
Description: bacterial SSU rRNA
Rfam family: Bacterial small subunit ribosomal RNA
Source: RNAcentral